GGAACUUAAAUCUUUGAUGGUACUAAAGGGAGCGAUGAUAGGAUCAAAUAUAAUGGUGCAAUUUGGAUUGGGUUCAACUAAACCUAGCCGCCCAACCCGUAUAUUGGAUACUAUUGGAUUGAGAUAUAAACUUUGGACUAUGCUUCGGCUGAAAAAUUUCACUUGACCUGAAGUAUGGUUGGGUUAGGUUUCAUUUUCAACCUAAGUAAAAUCCGGCCUAAUGUGAUAUAUAAAUAAAUAGACAGUUCAUAUUUAUUCUUCACUCAUAGUUAUAUUUUCAAUUGAUUAUGUACAAGUGUAUCAUUAAAAUUGAUGAAUGUUUGAUAUGACCUCAUUGCUCAAUCAAGGUGUAGCUUCUGCAUUCUAAAUAUGAUAAACUGUCAUUGCUAUGAGCUAAGGAGAAGUAUUUGUUUGUGGAAAUUAAGUAACGAUGAUAGAAUUAUGAUUAUCAUGCAUAUAUAGUAUGGUCAUCUUUUCAAAGUAGACCACUUCAACAAGUUUCACUUUGAUCUUUAUCCUACGGUUUCAAGGUUAUGUUUUAAUUUGAUCUUUAUUUUUGAAACACUUUUAGUGUGGCUCAAAUCCAAAGCAGCCCCCUAAUUGCCUAACU
Molecule: long non-coding RNA, 610 nt
Filed under: Phoenix dactylifera (date palm)
Lineage: Eukaryota; Viridiplantae; Streptophyta; Magnoliopsida; Arecales; Arecaceae
Description: long non-coding RNA (PDAC_LNC004803)
Source: RNAcentral